RNAcentral lists this long non-coding RNA (3852 nucleotides) under Prunus persica (peach). RNAcentral describes it as "long non-coding RNA (PPER_LNC005327)". The record is from RNAcentral. Lineage: Eukaryota; Viridiplantae; Streptophyta; Magnoliopsida; Rosales; Rosaceae.
CCAAAUCCUUUUUAUCUCAAUAUGAGAUAUUUAGCCCAUUACAGCUACCCUAUAGUUUGGGGAAUACCAAAGUGAUGAAGACAAAGAUAAUUCGAGCUCUACAUCAAGAAAGUGGUAUGUACCGAGGUAUGUGUGCUGGAAUUGUAGAAAAAGGAAAGAAAAAAGAAACAAAGUUUUAGAAAAAGAAAAGAAAAGAAAAAGAGUCAAAGAGGAUGUAAUUUCUAAAUCCCUCCAUUAUCGCACGGGUCCUGGAUGCCACGAGCAAACAACAAAGAACAAUUCAAGAGGAAAGCUUGUGCUUUCACAAGGAAGACAAGUAUGUCCCAAGCUUUAGUAUUUCCUAUCCUUUCUUUCAUAGCCCCUGACCUAAGCCUUACAUUACACACCUUAUGAAAGACCUAGCUGAUCUUUGGGGAUGUAUUCAUGGGUGCUGCUAAGUAUGUGUGCUAUCCAUAUUCUUAGUGUUUAAUUCCUUUCAUGAGAUCUGUCCAGAAAUUGUGCUUUUAUUUCAUAUUUCAUAUGUGAGGAUUUUUAUUCCCUUUUACAUAACUUCACUCACAUAUGGUUGAGGAGAGACCACCCUUAGGAUCUGAGUGAAAAUUGGAGUGAUAUCUGUGAGGACUAGAGUUGAGGUGAUUUCUAACUUUGGCAUUUGAGUAUGGUGUCUUUGAAGUCAUGGGACAUGGAGUAAUUAUUAUUUUUACACUAUACUUAUGAUAUGAUUCUUUGAAGUGGCAAACUAGUGGUACGAAUGUAUGACUAAGCUUUCAUUGGUUCUUAUUAGUUUGCUAUAAGUAUGCUUUAACCAAUUUGCUUGCAAGUAUACAGAUGUUUGUGGGAGUUAUCACUGUAAACCCUCAGGAGACACAACUCCUCCUACUAGGGACACCUAGGGGUUUAAAGGCUUGUUGCCCAUGCUCAGUGCAAUCGUUUAACCAGCGAAAGUGGUCUAGUUAGAUUUUAGUUUCAGUUUUGCUCGAGGACUAGCAAAAAUCAGGUUUAGGGGUAUUUGAUAACUCAUAUAUUUAUACAUAUAUAUCAUCCAUUUCUAGUUUAUUUGUGAUGUUUUUGAGUUAAACUUGUUACAUUUUAUCCUAUUUUGUGUUAGUAUGCAGUUGCAUCUACUUUAGGAUCAAGUUGAAGGCAAAAGAAAUGAAAACAUGCCAUUUUUGGAGCUGACCCUUAUUCAAACAUGGAAACAAGUUUCGUGACCUGUUUUGAAGUCCAAAUAAAGAAUCCAAGGCGAACCUGGCUUGGUUGAAGACUAAGAGCAGAAUGGGAAAGCAAUGGGGAUUUCUAGCCUGAUUUGGGGGUGCCAAAUAAGGCGAAAACAUGCAAAAUAAAAGCUGAUUUGUUAGGAUCUCUCUGGAAUAUCUUGCAGCCUCUUUUACCCCAUAAAAACUUGCCUUUUAGCCACUUUUAAAACCCCUAUUUAUUUUGGACGAAUUUCACAACCCUAGGACUGACUUCUUGGUUAUUCUCUCCUUUCAUGCACACUAAAACCCUAGCCGUCCAUAUAUUUCCACCAUCAGGACUCAGCGCAAGAGGUGGUUCUUGAAGAAGUUCAACAUCAAAAUUGGUUCAAGGGUAUUGCCCUGACCAAAUCAUUCGAAGAUGUGUACCAGAGAGUGAGCAGCAAAGCAUACUAACAUUCAGUCAUGCAUUGGCAUGCGGAAGUCAUUUCAGUGCCAAAAAGACAGCUUUAGAGGUUUUACAAUCUGGUAUCUUUUGGCCUACAUUGUUUAAAGAUGCUUUUGAUUUUUUCUCUAAGUUUGAUAGGUGUCAGAAAAUGGGGAGCAUCAAUCGCAGCAACGAAAUGCCAUUAAACAACAUUUUAGUGGUUGAGCUGUUUGAUGUGUGGGGAAUUGACUUCAUGGGACCAUUCCCAUCUUCUUUUGGAUACAUAUACAUACUAGUGGUAGUAGAUUCUGUGUCAAAAUGGGUUGAGGCAACAGCUACACGAACUAAUGAUCACAAAGUUGUCUUGAAUUUUCUCAAAGAUAUGAUUUUCACUGGGUUUGGAACUCCGAGAGCUAUCAUUAGCGAUGGCGGCAGUCACUUCUGCAACAAACCUUUCGAGGCAUUGAUGAAGAAGUACAACAUCACACAUAAAGUGGCAACUCCAUACCAUCCUCAAACUUCUGGACAAGUGGAAAUCAGCAAUAGAGAAAUAAAGAACAUCUUGAUGAAAACCGUCAGCCCUAGAAGGAAGGAUUGGUCACUAAGGUUGAAUGAUGCACUUUGGGCGUAUCAAACAGUGUACAAGACCCAAAUUGGAAUGAGCCCUUAUCGACUGGUGUUUGGAAAGGCAUGUCAUCUGCCAAUGGAGCUCGAGCACCGUGCAUAUUGGGCCAUAAAGAAGUUCAAUUUUGAUCUCAAAGAAGCUGGUACAGUGAGGAAGCUCCAACUCAAUGAGUUGGAAGAGCUCAUAAAUGAAUCAUAUGAGAAUGCAAGGAUCUACAAAGAACGAACCAAGCUCUACCAUGACAAAUCAAUUCUUAGGAAGGAGUUUCAACCAGGUAUGAAAGUACUUUUGUAUGACUCACGUUUGCGACUGUUUCCAGGUAAAUUGAAGUCUAGAUGGGUUGGACCAUUCAAAGUGCUUCAAGUAUUUCCCCAUGGAGCUAUGGAGAUAGAAAACAUCAAGAAUGGCACCCGUUUUAAGGUCAAUGGACAGCGUUUGAAGCCUUAUUUGGAAAAUGUUUCACAGGAGCAGGUUUAUGUAGUUAUAGAUUCUCUCGAGUUUAUGGCAACUUAGGCACACUACCAUGUCUUGCCUAGACAUUAAAUAAAGCGCUUACUAGGAGGCAGCCAAGCUGUGUUUGUGUUAUUUCCUUUUAUUUGUGUUAGUUUUUAGUUUUUAUUUUAUUUCAUUCCAUACACACUGUGCCAAUUUGCAUUGCAUCCAUUCCAUUCAAUUUUUUUUUUUUAAGCAUCGAGGACAAUGCUUAGUUUAGGUUUGGGGGUGUGGGAUUUUCGUUUGUUUUUAGUUCUGGUUAAAGUUUGCUUUUGCUUACUAAUGUGAAUGUAUAUGAGGGCUAUGGUUUACAAUGAGGACUACUGUGUUGUCAUGAAAAAGUUCGUAUCAUAUUGUUUUCAUUUUUUUUCAAACCUGUUACUCUUGGAAUCAUGGUGGUGAAAGUAUCAUGCUCAAAUUAUGGAAGAAGAAUUGUUGAGACUACCCUAGUGAGUGAUUUUGAGCCUAUUUACUUCUUUGAGAGGGUUUAAAGUGUUUGUACUCCUAUCUUUUUGCUUCAAUUUUAUUUCAAAUGAUCUCAUUAUUUUUGUUUGAUUGAAUGCUAAAUUUUUUUCGCUUUCGCAGAUACCAUGUGUUUGGUAACACUCAUGAAUGAACUCAUUGAGAUGAUGUUAGGCUAUGCAUGUCUUAACCACCAAAAGGCCUAAUUUCUUACCUUUAUGUGUGUGCCAUUACCCCAUUUUGAAGCCAAUCCUUUUUAGCCAUUUUCUUUUCUCACAUUUGUUUCCCCAUAUCCUUUUAUCUCAAUAUGAGAUAUUUAGCCCAUUACAGCUAUACCCUAUAGUUUGGGGAAUACCAAAGUGAUGAAGACAAAGAUAAUUCGAGCUCUACAUCAAGAAAGUGGUAUGUACCGAGGUAUGUGUGCUGGAAUUGUAGAAAAAAGAAAGAAAAAAAAGAAACAAAGUUUUAGAAAAAGAAAAGAAAAGAAAAAGAAUCAAAGAGGAUGUAAUUUCUAAAUCCUUCCGUUAUCGCACGGGUCCUGGAUGCCACGAACAAACAACAAAGAACAAUUCAAUAGGAGAGCUUGCUGCUUUCACAAGGAAGACACUUUGGUGUGUCCCAAGCUUUAGUAUUUCCUAUCCUUUCUUUCAUAG